Molecule: long non-coding RNA, 237 nt
Filed under: Coturnix japonica (Japanese quail)
Lineage: Eukaryota; Metazoa; Chordata; Aves; Galliformes; Phasianidae
Description: lncRNA (ENSCJPG00005008731.1)
Source: RNAcentral
GGCUCUGUAAGCUGGGGUCACUAAAUGGGAAGUAAUGGAGACCUGAAGGCUGCCACGAGAUAAGCCACCACUGCCCUGCAGCUUCCUGAAUUUUGCUCUGCUAUUUAUUGUAUUUCCACCAGUGGAUUUCUGACUGAGUUGUCCAGCCACUGUCCUGCUGGGACUGAUAAGCAACAAUACCUUGAUCCAUCCUUGCAUCAGGUUUCUUCUUGAUAAACUGUAAGCUGACAAGAACUG